UACGGGGGAUGCAAGCGUUAUCCGGAUUUAUUGGGUUUAAAGGGUGCGUAGGCUGUGAGGUAAGUCAGCGGUGAAAUGCCCCCGCUCAACGGGGUGAAGUGCCAUUGAUACUGCCUUGCUGGAAUGCGGAUGCCGUGGGAGGAAUGUGUGGUGUAGCGGUGAAAUGCAUAGAUAUCAGGAGGAACAUCGGUGGCGUAAGCGCUUUACUGGGCCGUAAUUGACGCUGAGGAACGAAAGCCAGGGUAGCAAAUGGG
RNAcentral lists this ribosomal RNA (254 nucleotides) under uncultured bacterium. RNAcentral describes it as "partial 16S ribosomal RNA". It matches the Rfam family "Bacterial small subunit ribosomal RNA", at positions 524 to 776 of the family's 1533-position model. The record is from RNAcentral.